Molecule: ribosomal RNA, 622 nt
Filed under: uncultured Planctomycetota bacterium
Lineage: Bacteria; Pseudomonadati; Planctomycetota
Description: bacterial SSU rRNA
Rfam family: Bacterial small subunit ribosomal RNA
Source: RNAcentral
GGGAGAGUAACGCGUAAUUAUGUGCCCACGGGUUCGGAAUAGCCACGGUGAACUGUGGGUAAUGCCGAAUAACGUCUCCGGAUCACAAGUGUGAUUCCGCCCUUGGAACUAACUGCCUCCUACUAACAAUGUGGUGGGGUAAUGGCCCGCCUACGCAACGAUGGCUACCGUGUGUGAUGUGUUGACCCCUCUCCCUGGGACUGAUGCUCUGCCCACACCCCUACCGGUGUCUGCCGGCUAGAAUCUUCCGCUCUGACCGCAAACUUGACCGAGCGACCCCGCGUGCGGCAUGAAAGCCCUCUUGUUGUAACCCCCUGUCGUACGGGAGGAAAUCUAUCGGGGUUCUCCCGGGUACUCGACCUAUCCUAUGAGGAACCUUUGGCUUUCUUCCUGCCUCCAUCCCCGGUAAGACUAACCGUACUAACGUUAUUCCGAAUUACUGGGCUUAAAGGGUUUGUAGGCGGCCUUGUAAGUCGGGUGUGAAAUCCCUCGGCUCAACCGAGGAAUGGCGCCCGAUACUGCAAGGCUUGAGGGAGCAGGGGUAAGCAGAAACUGAUGGUGGAGCGGUGAAAUGCGUUGAUAUCAUCAGACAACACCGGUGGCUAAUCCCGCUUACUGCGUC